RNAcentral lists this ribosomal RNA (437 nucleotides) under uncultured bacterium. RNAcentral describes it as "partial 16S ribosomal RNA". It matches the Rfam family "Bacterial small subunit ribosomal RNA", at positions 339 to 795 of the family's 1533-position model. The record is from RNAcentral.
CUACGGGAUGCACCAGUGAGGAAUAUUGCACAAUGGGGGGAACCCUGAUGCAGCAACGCCGCGUGGAGGAUGACGCAUUUCGGUGUGUAAACUCCUUUUAUAUGUCAAGAAAAUGACGGUAGCAUAUGAAUAAGCACCGGCUAACUCCGUGCCAGCAGCCGCGGUAAUACGGAGGGUGCAAGCGUUACUCGGAAUCACUGGGCGUAAAGGACGCGUAGGCGGGUUGGAAAGUCAGGUGUGAAAUCCUACAGCUUAACUGUAGAACUGCACUUGAAACUUCUAAUCUAGAGUAUGGGAGGGGGAGAUGGAAUUAGUGGUGUAGGGGUAAAAUCCGUAGAUAUCACUAGGAAUACCUAAAGCGAAGGCGAUCUCCUGGAACAUUACUGACGCUAAGGCGUGAAAGCGUGGGGAGCAAACAGGAUUAGAUACCCGAAGUC